CCUUACCAGGACUUGACAUGUAAGGAACCCUGUAGAGAUACGGGGGUGCCCCUUUCGGGGAACCUUAACACAGGUGGUGCAUGGUUGUCGUCAGCUCGUGUCGUGAGAUGUUGGGUUAAGUCCCGCAACGAGCGCAACCCCUGUUGUUAGUUGCUACCAUUAAGUUGAGCACUCUAACGAGACUGCCGAGGUCAACUCGGAGGAAGGUGGGGAUGACGUCAAAUCAUCAUGCCCCUUAUGUCCUGGGCUACACACGUGCUACAAUGGCCGGUACAAAGAGAAGCAAUCCCGCGAGGGGGAGCAAAUCUUCAAAACCGGUCCCAGUUCGGAUUGUAGGCUGCAACUCGCCUACAUGAAGCCGGAGUUGCUAGUAAUCGGAU
This 380-nucleotide ribosomal RNA is filed under the name Fonticella sp. KF-2016-G. Its description in RNAcentral is "bacterial SSU rRNA". It matches the Rfam family "Bacterial small subunit ribosomal RNA", at positions 969 to 1347 of the family's 1533-position model. The record is from RNAcentral. Lineage: Bacteria; Bacillati; Bacillota; Clostridia; Eubacteriales; Clostridiaceae.